Molecule: ribosomal RNA, 433 nt
Filed under: uncultured Lachnospiraceae bacterium
Lineage: Bacteria; Bacillati; Bacillota; Clostridia; Lachnospirales; Lachnospiraceae
Description: partial 16S ribosomal RNA
Rfam family: Bacterial small subunit ribosomal RNA
Source: RNAcentral
CGGAAGGCAGCAGUAGGGAGUAUUGCACAAUGGGGGAAACCCUGAUGCAGCGACGCCGCGUGAGUGAUGAAGUAUUUCGGUACGUAAAACUCUAUCAGCAGGGAAGAUAAUGACGGUACCUGACUAAGAAGCCCCGGCUAACUGCGUGCCAGCAGCCGCGGUAAUACGUAGGGGGCAAGCGUUAUCCGGAUUUACUGGGUGUAAAGGGAGUGUAGGUGGCCUGGCAAGCCAGAUGUGAAAGCCCGCAGCUCAACUGCGGGACUGCAUUUGGAACUGUUAGGCUUGAGUGCAGGAGAGGAAAGUGGAAUUCCUAGUGUAGCGGUGAAAUGCGUAGAUAUUAGGAGGAACACCAGUGGCGAAGGCGGCUUUCUGGACUGUAACUGACACUGAGGCUCGAAAGCGUGGGGAGCAAACAGGAUUAGAUACCCUGGUA